CAGGUUAUCCACUUUCGCUCCUUGGGAAGGCCCGAAAAAGAUGAAUUUUGUUUACAAGUCAAAGCUUGAUUCAUAUGAUGAUGUUGUUAAGAGAGCAGCAAACCAACUCGCAGUCGAUGAUCCGUCCAAACUACGGCUUAUAUUACACAAUAUCUAUUCUCAGAGACCAAAAGCUGAUCCUAUAACAUAUCGAGGAGUAGAAACUUGUUAGAGAUGCUGCUGCAUUACGACCAAGUUAUCCACUUUCGCUCCUUGGGAAGGCCCGAAAAAGAUGAAUUUUGUUUACAAGUCAAAGCUUGAUUCAUAUGAUGAUGUUGUUAAGAGAGCAGCAAACCAACUCGCAGUCGAUGAUCCGUCCAAACUACGGCUUAUAUUACACAAUAUCUAUUCUCAGAGACCAAAAGCUGAUCCUAUAACAUAUCGAGGAGUAGAAACUUGUUAGAGAUGCUGCUGCAUUACGACCAAGUUAUCCACUUUCGCUCCUUGGGAAGGCCCGAAAAAGAUGAAUUUUGUUUACAAGUCAAAGCUUGAUUCAUAUGAUGAUGUUGUUAAGAGAGCAGCAAACCAACUCGCAGUCGAUGAUCCGUCCAAACUACGGCUUAUAUUACACAAUAUCUAUUCUCAGAGACCAAAAGCUGAUCCUAUAACAUAUCGAGGAGUAGAAACUUGUUAGAGAUGCUGCUGCAUUACGACCAAGUUAUCCACUUUCGCUCCUUGGGAAGGCCCGAAAAAGAUGAAUUUUGUUUACAAGUCAAAGCUUGAUUCAUAUGAUGAUGUUGUUAAGAGAGCAGCAAACCAACUCGCAGUCGAUGAUCCGUCCAAACUACGGCUUAUAUUACACAAUAUCUAUUCUCAGAGACCAAAAGCUGAUCCUAUAACAUAUCGAGGAGUAGAAACUUGUUAGAGAUGCUGCUGCAUUACGACCAAGUUAUCCACUUUCGCUCCUUGGGAAGGCCCGAAAAAGAUGAAUUUUGUUUACAAGUCAAAGCUUGAUUCAUAUGAUGAUGUUGUUAAGAGAGCAGCAAACCAACUCGCAGUCGAUGAUCCGUCCAAACUACGGCUUAUAUUACACAAUAUCUAUUCUCAGAGACCAAAAGCUGAUCCUAUAACAUAUCGAGGAGUAGAAACUUGUUAGAGAUGCUGCUGCAUUACGACCAAGUUAUCCACUUUCGCUCCUUGGGAAGGCCCGAAAAAGAUGAAUUUUGUUUACAAGUCAAAGCUUGAUUCAUAUGAUGAUGUUGUUAAGAGAGCAGCAAACCAACUCGCAGUCGAUGAUCCGUCCAAACUACGGCUUAUAUUACACAAUAUCUAUUCUCAGAGACCAAAAGCUGAUCCUAUAACAUAUCGAGGAGUAGAAACUUGUUAGAGAUGCUGCUGCAUUACGACCAAGUUAUCCACUUUCGCUCCUUGGGAAGGCCCGAAAAAGAUGAAUUUUGUUUACAAGU
Molecule: non-coding RNA, 1445 nt
Organism: Sesamum indicum (sesame)
Lineage: Eukaryota; Viridiplantae; Streptophyta; Magnoliopsida; Lamiales; Pedaliaceae
Source: RefSeq, a predicted model, not a curated record